RNAcentral lists this ribosomal RNA (497 nucleotides) under uncultured bacterium. RNAcentral's name for it is "partial 16S ribosomal RNA". It matches the Rfam family "Bacterial small subunit ribosomal RNA", at positions 28 to 507 of the family's 1533-position model. The record is from RNAcentral.
GACGAACGCUGGCGGCGUGCCUAAUACAUGCAAGUUGAGCGCUGAAGGUUGGUACUUGUACCCACUGGAUGAGCAGCGAACGGGUGAGUAACGCGUGGGGAAUCUGCCUUUGAGCGGGGGACAACAUUUGGAAACGAAUGCUAAUACCGCAUAAAAACUUUAAACACAAGUUUUAAGUUUGAAAUAUGCAAUUGCAUCACUCAAAGAUGAUCCCGCGUUGUAUUAGCUAGUUGGUGAGGUAAAGGCUCACCAAGGCGAUGAUACAUAGCCGACCUGAGAGGGUGAUCGGCCACAUUGGGACUGAGACACGGCCCAAACUCCUACGGGAGGCAGCAGUAGGGAAUCUUCGGCAAUGGACGAAAGUCUGACCGAGCAACGCCGCGUGAGUGAAGAAGGUUUUCGGAUCGUAAAACUCUGUUGGUAGAGAAGAACGUUGGUGAGAGUGGAAAGCUCAUCAAGUGACGGUAACUACCCAGAAAGGGACGGCUAACUACGUG